AAAUCUGUUGUAAAUAGUUAUUAUUUAGUGGACAUUUUUGUAAUUAGCCGACUAGGGUUGUUAUUGUAAUUUAUAUCAUGGCUUCAUCUCUAUAUAAGAGAUGGUUUCCUACUCAAUAAUACAUACAUAUUCUCUCAUUCUCUUGGUUGUUUCUGUCACAUCCCGGGACCCGCUCCGCCGUAACACGAUAUUGUCCGCUUUGGGCCCACCGGCCCUCACGGUUUUGUUUCCGGCAGCUCAGGAGCAACUUCCCAGUAGGUCACCCAUCCUGGGAUUGCUCUCGCAUCGACAUGCUUAACCUCGGAGUACCCAUCCCCUCCGAAGCCGCUGAGCCACCAAAAGGCCUCGUAUUAGAUUAGAGGUGGGCAUGUACAUAUACAGCACAUAACCCCUCUCCGUUUGGCCGAUGUGGGAUAUUACAAUCCACCCCCCUUGGGAGUCCGACGCCCUCGUCGGCACACUCGCACCACACGGCAGAGUGGCUCUGAUACCAUUUGUCACAUCCCGGGACCCGCUCCGCCGUAACACGAUAUUGUCCGCUUUGGGCCCACCGGCCCUCACGGUUUUGUUUCCGGCAGCUCAGGAGCAACUUCCCAGUAGGUCACCCAUCCUGGGAUUGCUCUCGCAUCGACAUGCUUAACCUCGGAGUACCCAUCCCCUCCGAAGCCGCUGAGCCACCAAAAGGCCUCGUAUUAGAUUAGAGGUGGGCAUGUACAUAUACAGCACAUAACCCCUCUCCGUUUGGCCGAUGUGGGAUAUUACAGUUUCUCUCCUUUCUCAAUCUAUUCUUUUUGUUUUACAACACGUUAUCAGCACGAAUAGUUUUAACAUUAUCUUGUUUUUUAUUGCAUGUGAAGCUCUAAAAGCAAACGAUGAUCUUUCAAUUUGAUUGAUCGAAUUCGCUCUACAUUGACAUAGAAAGCUCUAAAAUCGAUGAUCAACCAUAUGAGGAUCAUUAUCUAACCAAGUUCUUGGAUUGGCUGAGUAACUCCACAAACGGCAUUCUCAGUGCUACACAUAAAAGAUGGAGAUUAUCCGUUCUGCAAUGAGUAACGUUUUCUUAUCUUAAUUCCAAUUCAUAUUUGCUAGCCUUGAUUAUAUGAUGAACAAAUUCACAUCGGGUGAGAUGUUCGGUCUAGGGCAUUUAGCCAAGUACAAUAAUGUGCCUAUUGUACUUAGAUAUGAGUUUUCUGGUCCCAAUAUCUCUUCAUUAUCAUCUACACGAUGAUACGAGUCUCACUAGACUUUAGACGAUUAUGAGUGAGCUUGAAGACUUUGCUUUAUCCUCAUUAAAGCAUCUUAACAUCUUCUAGAUGUAAUUUGAUUGAUGUACCAAAAUUCCAUUUGCACUUUACACGGCUUCAGGUCGAGAAAAUGAUUUGGUCUCUGAAAGUCUUUUUAUCUCAAACUCCGACUUCAGGUGUUUUAUGGUUUUCUUGAUCUCUUCAAGAGUAUCAAUCAAAUUCAUGCUAUUGACGUAGAUCACCAAAAAUUGCAAACCCGAAGUUUAUUUUCUUAAUAAACACGCAUGGGCAUAGUCCAUUGUUCAUAUAUCCCAUCCCAAGCAAAUAUUCACUUAGACAGUUAGACGGUUAUACCAACUCUGUCUGGAUUGUUUGAACCCCUAAAGUGAACUACUCUAGCAAAUGGAGAGCAUGUUCUGUGGUCUAGAACUAUUUGCAUUGGGUAACAGAAGUCCUUCAGGAACCUUCAUGUAUAUCUCUAUAUUCAGAUCCUCAUAGAGAUAAGUUGUUACCA
Molecule: long non-coding RNA, 1758 nt
Filed under: Fragaria vesca (wild strawberry)
Lineage: Eukaryota; Viridiplantae; Streptophyta; Magnoliopsida; Rosales; Rosaceae
Description: long non-coding RNA (FVES_LNC000156)
Source: RNAcentral